This 163-nucleotide non-coding RNA is filed under the name Candidatus Pseudomonas excrementavium. The record is from RNAcentral. Lineage: Bacteria; Pseudomonadati; Pseudomonadota; Gammaproteobacteria; Pseudomonadales; Pseudomonadaceae.
GGGUGACUGCAAAUCCGGAGGAAGCCCGAGGCAAAGCGCUGGCCUGACGAACAGGAAGCGGAUACGAGGCGACGCGUUGGGGUGAGGCAGCAAAAAAAGGCCAAAGCCCGAUACUUGCACAGAACGACGCGGCGUAUAUCCGACGGGCAUAGGCGUGAAGGUG